GUUAAGAACAAAUUCUUAUUUACAAUGACGGCCUACCAAAAGGCAAAAGGCCUCCUGUGGGGACGGGGGCUUGGGAUAAAAAAAUACAAUAUAAAUAUAGGACAAAACACACAUCAUAACAAGAGAGACAACACUACAUAAAGACAGAUCUAAGACAACAACAUAGCAAGGCAGCAACACAUACCACAGCAUGGUAGCAACACAACAUAAGAACAACAUGGUAGCAGCACCAAACAUGGUACAAACAUUAUUGGGCACAGUCAACAGCACAAAGGUCAAGAAGCAACCACCACUGUCAGAAAGAGUGUCCAUGAUUGAGUCUUCAAAUGAAGCUCUUGAGAUAAAACUUUCCAGUUUGAGUGUUUGUUGUAGCUCGUUCCAGUCGCUAGCUGCAGCGAACUGAAAAGAGGAGCGACCCAGGGAUCUGUGUGCUUUGGGGACCUUUAAUAGAAUGGCAGACUGGCAGAACGGGUGUUGUAUGUGGAGGAUGAGGGCUGCAGUAGAUAUCUCAGAUAAGGGGGAGUGAGGCCUAAGAGGGUUUUAUAAAUAAGCAUCAACCAGUGGGUCUUGUGACGGGUAUACAGAGAUGACCAGUUUACAAAGGAGUAUAGAGUGCUGUGAUGUGUCCUAUAAGGAGCAUUGGUGGCAAAUCUCAUGGCCGAAUAGUAAAGAACAUCUAGCCGCUUGAGAGCACCCUUACCUGUCGAUCUAUAAAUUAUGUCUCCGUAAUCUAGCAUGGGUAGGAUGGUCAUCUGAAUCAGGGUUAGUUUGGCAGCUGGGGUGAAAGAGGAGCGAUUACGAUAGAGGAAACCAAGUCUAGAUUCAACUUUAGCCUGCAGCUUUGAUAUGUGCUGAGAGAAGGACAGUGCACCGUCUAGCCAUACUCCCAAGUACUUGUAUGAGGUGACUACCUCAAGCUCUAAACCCUCAGAGGUAGUAAUAACACCUGUGGGAAGAGGGGCAUUCUUCUUACCAAACCACAUGACCUUUGUUUUGGAGGUGUUCAGAACAAGGUUAAGGGUAGAGAAAGCUUGUUGGACAGCUUUGUUGUAGAGAAUUUAGCGCAAAAUCCGGGGAGGGGCCAGCUGAGUAUAAGACUGUAUCAUCUGCAUAGAAAUUUGAUGAGAGAGUUCCUACUGCCUGAGCUACGUUAAUGAUGUAAAUUGAGAACAACGUCGGGCCUAGGAUUGAGCUUUGGGGUACUCCCUUGGUGACAGGCAGUGGCUGAGACAGUAGAUUUUCUGACUUUAUACACUGCACUCAGAGAGGUAGUUAGCAAACCAGGCCAAACACCCCUCAGAGACACCAAUACUCUUUAGCCAGCCAACAAGAAUGGAAUGGUCUACUGUAUCAAAAGCUUUGGCCAAGUCAACAAAAAUAGCAGCACAAGCAGCACUUGCUUAGAAUCAAGGGCAAUGGUGACAUCAUUGAGGACCUUUUAGGUUGUAGUGACACAUCCAUAACCUGAGGGGAAACCAGAUUGCAUACCAUAGAGAAUACUAUAGGCAUCAAGAAAGCCAGUCAGAUGAUUAUUGACAAGUUUUUCCAACACUUUUGAUAAACAAGGCAAAAUAGAAAUAGGCCAUUAACAGUUAGGAUCAGCUUGAUCUCCCCCUUUAAAUAAAGGUUGAACUGUGGCUGCCUUCCAAGCAAUGGGAACCUUCCCAGAAAGGAGAGACAGGUUAAAAAGGUUGGAGAUAAGCUUGCUGCACCCGUCAUCGCCAAGCCUAAAGAAGAAAGGGUUUAAACCAUCUGACCCAGAUUUUUCGGGGGGGGUCAAGUUUAAGGAGAUCCUUUAGCACCUCGGACUCAGUGACUGCCUGCAGGGAGAAACUUUGUAGCGGGGCAGGGGAAAAAGAGGGAGAAGCAUCGGGGAUAGCCACAUUAGAAGGGUUGGGAGAUGAGGAAAUGUUGGACGGGCAAGGAGGCAUGGCUGAGUCAAAUAGGAAUCCUGACUUAAUGAAGGUGUGAUUAAAGAGCUCAGCCAUGUGCUUCUUGUCAGUAGCAACCACAUCAUCAACAUUAACGGACAUGGGCAGCUGUGAGAAGGGUUUAUUCUCCAGGUCUUUAACCAUUUUCCAGAACUUCUUGGGGUUAGACCCACAGAGAGAGAACUGUUCCUUAAAGUAACUAAUUUUGGCCUUCCGGAAAGACUGAGUGCUCUUAUUUCUCAUUUGCUUGAAUGAUAGCCAGUCAGCUUGUGUAUGCGUGUGCCGAGCCUUUCGCUAAAUGCAAUUCUUGAGGUGGAGUAACUCUGCAAGAUCAUGGUCGAACCAGGGACUGAACCUGUUUUUAAUUCUCAUGUUCUUUAUGGGGGCGUGUUUGUUAACAAUACCACUGAAAAUAUACCAAAAGAAAGUCCAAGCGUCUUCUACAGAGGGGAUCAAUCUGAUUCUAUACCAAUUUACACAAGCCAGUUCAUGAAGGAAGGCUUGCUCAUGAAUUUUUUUAAUCGUCUAUGACAAAUCAGGACAGGUCGUUUCACUGAGCAGCCAUUACGAACACAGGCUGUAAAACAGUGAUCACUAAGGUCAUUACAGAAAACACCAGACUGAUACCUAUCAGGAUUAUUUGUGAGGAUAACAUCGAGGAGAGCAGCCUUUUCUGGGUGUUUGAAGUCAUACCUUGUGGGAUUGGUGAUAAUCUGAGAAAGAUUUAGGGAGUCCCAUUGCUUUAGGACUUGGUUAGGUGGUUUAAGCAUGUCCCAGUUUAGGUCACCUAGCAGGACAAAUUCCGACUUAGUGUAAGGGGCCAGGAGAGAGCUUAGGGUAUGUAGGGUACAGGCCAGUGCUAAUGGAGGACGAUAGCACCCAGCAAGAGUCAACAAAGAGCUAUUUGAAAGUUUAAUGCUUAAAAGUAAAUCAAAUUGUUUGGGAACAGACUUGAUGGAGACAACUGAGCACUGAAGGUGAUCCUUGGUAAAGAUUGCCACUCCUCCACCUUUGGAAGAUCUGUCUUGCCGAAAAAGGUUAUAACCAGAAAGGUUAACAUCAGUAUUCAAAACACGCUUAACCACGUCUCAGUAAUGACCAACACAUCUGGAUAGGAGCUAUGAACCCACACUUUCAAUUGAUCCAUUUUAUGUAAUAAGCUUCAAUUGUUAACGUGCAGAAAAACCAGGCUUUUACGAGAGCAAAAAUCAGUGAAGCAGAUUUCAGAGCGCAAGUAAGAAUUGGGGCUAGCAACAAUAGAUGGGUCAGGGUGUACAUGCACAUUUCCAGAUAUCAUCAGCAGUAAUACAAUCAGGGCACGGCAGAGGGCAGGGAGAGCUCUGCAGUGCUGAUUUAUGACAUCUUAAUGUACAUCAGAUGGUAACAAGAUCAUAUUGUACAGCAAUUUCAUCAAGUAACAUGAAUACAAAGCUGGAGAGAGGUGAUUAGAAUAGGAUGGGAGGCCAAAACCAAUAGAGAGUCAGAGUCCCAAGUGUGGGAACAAACAUAGUCUGUCCCAAUGUUGGGUAAAGAAAGUUUGUAGUCAACAAAGUAUUCAGGAGUCAUGAAGUAAAUAGCAAAAAAGCAAAAUGCACAAUAAUAAAAAAAUAUAUAUAACGACUUGGGGCUACCCAUUGUAAGUUCAGAGUCACUCACCCAAACAACGCGUGUGUGCUGGAGGCGAGAGUAAGCUCGGGAGAGAGGGGGGAGUAUGGUGGAGGUAACUGUACCAGACAGGGGGAGACAGGCCAGGGCAGACGGUGAACAGAGAGGGGUGAGUAUGGUGGAGGUAACUGUACCAGAUGGGGGGAGACAGGCCAGGGCAGACGAGGGGAGUAUGGUGGAGAUACCUGUACCAGACAGGGGGAGACAGGCCAGGGCAGACGGUGAACAGAGAGGGGUGAGUGUGGUGGGGGUACCUGUACCAGACAGGGGAAGACAGACCAGGGAGAGAGGGGUGAGUGUGGUGGGGGUACCUGUACCAGACAGGGGGAGACAGGCCAGAGCAGACGGAGAACAGAGAGGGGUGAGUGUGGUGGAGGUACCUGUACCAGACAGGGGGAGACAGGCCAGGGCAGACGGUGAACAGAGAGGGGUG
Molecule: long non-coding RNA, 4029 nt
Organism: Oncorhynchus tshawytscha (Chinook salmon)
Lineage: Eukaryota; Metazoa; Chordata; Actinopteri; Salmoniformes; Salmonidae
Source: Ensembl